GGCGGACGGGUGAGUAACACGUGGAUAACCUACCCAUAAGACUGGGAUAACUUCGGGAAACCGGAGCUAAUACCGGAUAAUAUAUUGAACCGCAUGGUUCAAUAGUGAAAGACGGUUUUGCUGUCACUUAUAGAUGGAUCCGCGUCGCAUUAGCUAGUUGGUAAGGUAACGGCUUACCAAGGCAACGAUGCGUAGCCGACCUGAGAGGGUGAUCGGCCACACUGGAACUGAGACACGGUCCAG
RNAcentral lists this ribosomal RNA (243 nucleotides) under uncultured Staphylococcus sp. Its description in RNAcentral is "partial 16S ribosomal RNA". It matches the Rfam family "Bacterial small subunit ribosomal RNA", at positions 97 to 334 of the family's 1533-position model. Lineage: Bacteria; Bacillati; Bacillota; Bacilli; Caryophanales; Staphylococcaceae. The record is from RNAcentral.